UGAGAUUGUAUGGCAGGUUGAAACUGAGAUUGUAUGGCAGGUUAAAACUGAGAUUGUAUGGCAGGUUAAAAUUGAGAUAAUAGGGCAGGUUAAGGCUGAGAUUGUAUGGCAGGUUGAAACUGAGAUUGUAUGGCAGGUUAAAACUGAGAUUGUAUGGCAGGUUAAAAUUGAGAUAAUAGGGCAGGUUGAGGCUGAGAAUGUAUGGCAGGUUAAAACUGAGAUUGUAUGGCAGGUUAAAACUGAGAUUGUAUGGCAGGUUGAAACUGAGAUUGUAUGGCAGGUUAAGGCUGAGAUUGUAUGGCAGGUUAAAACUGAGAUUGUAUGGCAGGUUAAAACUGAGAUUGUAUG
Oncorhynchus tshawytscha (Chinook salmon) is the source of this 348-nucleotide long non-coding RNA. NCBI's taxonomy places the organism in Eukaryota, Metazoa, Chordata, Actinopteri, Salmoniformes, Salmonidae. The record is from Ensembl.